This 253-nucleotide ribosomal RNA is filed under the name uncultured bacterium. RNAcentral describes it as "partial 16S ribosomal RNA". It matches the Rfam family "Bacterial small subunit ribosomal RNA", at positions 524 to 776 of the family's 1533-position model. The record is from RNAcentral. RNAcentral also lists the same sequence under 1 other name.
UACGUAGGUGGCAAGCGUUGUUCGGAAUUACUGGGCGUAAAGCGCGCGUAGGCGGCUCUUCAAGUCAGGCGUGAAAGCCCCGGGCUUAACUCGGGAACUGCGCUUGAUACUGUCGAGCUAGAGUGUGGAAGGGGCGAUUGGAAUUCCGUGUGUAGCGGUGAAAUGCGUAGAUAUACGGAGGAACACCAGAGGCGAAGGCGGAUCGCUGGGCCAACACUGACGCUGAUGCGCGAAAGCUAGGGGAGCAAACGGG